CGGACGGGUGAGUAACGCGUGAGAAUCUGCCUCCAGGUCGGGGACAACAGCGGGAAACUGCUGCUAAUCCCGGAUAAGCCCUAGGGUAAAAGAUUUAUUGCCUGGAGAGGAGCUCGCGUCCGAUUAGCUAGAUGGUGAGGUAAGAGCUCACCAUGGCGACGAUCGGUAGCUGUUCUGAGAGGAAGAUCAGCCACACUGGGACUGAGACACGGCCCAGACUCCUACGGGAGGCAGCAGUGGGGAAUUUUCCGCAAUGGGCGAAAGCCUGACGGAGCAAGACCGCGUGCGGGAAGAAGGCCCUUGGGUCGUAAAUCGCUUUUCUUAGGGAAGAAGCUCUGACGGUACCUAAGGAAUCAGCCUCGGCUAACUCCGUGCCAGCAGCCGCGGUAAUACGGAGGAGGCAAGCGUUAUCCGGAAUUAUUGGGCGUAAAGCGUCCGCAGGCGGCUUAUCAAGUCUGCUGUCAAAGACUGGGGCUCAACCCUGGGGAGGCAGUGGAAACUGAGAAGCUAGAGUGCAGUAGGGGUAGAGGGAAUUCCCAGUGUAGCGGUGAAAUGCGUAGAGAUUGGGAAGAAACACCGGUGGCGAAAGCGCUCUACUGGGCUGUAACUGACGCUGAGGGACGAAAGCUAGGGGGGCGAAAGGGAUUAGAUACCCCUGUAGU
Molecule: ribosomal RNA, 662 nt
Filed under: uncultured cyanobacterium
Lineage: Bacteria; Bacillati; Cyanobacteriota
Description: bacterial SSU rRNA
Rfam family: Bacterial small subunit ribosomal RNA
Source: RNAcentral